Non-coding RNA from Acanthosepion pharaonis, 107 nucleotides. Lineage: Eukaryota; Metazoa; Mollusca; Cephalopoda; Sepiida; Sepiidae. The record is from the annotation of a GenBank genome assembly.
UUACGGCCAUAUCGCGUUGAAACACCGAUUCCCGCACGAUCACCGAAGUUAAGCGUGCGUGGUCCCUACCUAGACGGGUGACGGUUUGGGAACACCAGGUGCUGUGA